RNAcentral lists this unclassified non-coding RNA (336 nucleotides) under soil metagenome. Its description in RNAcentral is "partial contains 5.8S ribosomal RNA, internal transcribed spacer 2, and large subunit ribosomal RNA". The stretch from base 1 to 120 matches the Rfam family "5.8S ribosomal RNA", at positions 35 to 154 of the family's 154-position model. The record is from RNAcentral.
GAUGAAGAACGCAGCGAAAUGCGAUAAGUAGUGUGAAUUGCAGAAUUCAGUGAAUCAUCGAAUCUUUGAAGGCACAUUGCGCCCCUUGGUAUUCCAUGGGGCAUGCCUGUUCGAGCGUCAUUUGUACCUUCAAGCUUUGCUUGGUGUUGGGUGUUUGUCUCGCCUUUGCGUGUAGACUCGCCUUAAAAUAAUUGGCAGCCGGCGUAUUGAUUUCGGAGCGCAGUACAUCUCGCGCUUUGCACUCAUAACGACAGCGUCCAAAAGUACAUUUUACACUCUUGACCUCGGAUCAGGUAGGGAUACCCGCUGAACUUAAGCAUAUCAAUAAGCGGAGGA